This 1309-nucleotide ribosomal RNA is filed under the name Pseudopsis montoraria. RNAcentral's name for it is "eukaryotic LSU rRNA". It matches the Rfam family "Eukaryotic large subunit ribosomal RNA", at positions 64 to 1119 of the family's 3401-position model. The record is from RNAcentral. Lineage: Eukaryota; Metazoa; Arthropoda; Insecta; Coleoptera; Staphylinidae.
ACUAACUAGGAUUCCCGUAGUAGCGGCGAGCGAACUGGGAAGAGCCCAGCACCGAAUCCCGUCGCCCCCUGGGGUUGGCGGGAAAUGUGGUGUUAGGGAGGGUCCACUAUCCCGUGGUCGCGUGACGAGUCCAAGUCCUUCUUGAACGGGGCCAAUUACCCAUAGAGGGUGCCAGGCCCGUAGUGACCGUCGCCGGCUGCGGGAGGACCUCUCCUCAGAGUCGGGUUGCUUGAGAGUGCAGCCCUAAGUGGGUGGUAAACUCCAUCUAAGGCUAAAUAUAACCACGAGACCGAUAGCGAACAAGUACCGUGAGGGAAAGUUGAAAAGAACUUUGAAGAGAGAGUUCAAUAGUACGUGAAACCGUUCAGGGGUAAACCUGAGAAACCCGAAAGGUCGAAUGGGGAGAUUCAGCGCGUCUCUGGGCGAGCGACUCGCUGUCGUGCGACGGUUCCCGUUUACGGGCGCCGCGUCUUCAGUGGCCGUUUUCGUUCGGAACGCGUGCACUUCUCCCCUAGUAGGACGUCGCGACCCGUUGGGCGCCGGUUUAAGGCCCGUGGUGGAGCCCACGCGAUCGGUUCGCCGAUUCGCGCGGACCCGCGGUGUCCCGGCCGGCACGCUCGACGGAACGACAGUGGCGCGGGGCCGCGUUUACGCGUCCGGCCCGUCGCAAGCGCGGACGGUUACCCGGCGGUCGCACCUGGUGUCGACUCCGGGCCCGCCCGGCUGCUGGCGGCGGUGUUCUCGGACAGUCCCCGAUACGUCGGUCGGCGACGCUAUAGCUUUGGGUACUUUCAGGGCCCGUCUUGAAACACGGACCAAGGAGUCUAGCAUGUGCGCGAGUCAUUGGGACUUUGCGAAACCUAAAGGCGUAAUGAAAGUGAAGGCGUCGCCUUGCGCGCGCCUAGGGAGGAUGGGUCCCGCCACGGCGGGGCCUCGCACUCCCGGGGCGUCUCGUGCUCAUUGCGAGCUGAGGCGCACCCAGAGCGUACACGCUGGGACCCGAAAGAUGGUGAACUAUGCCUGGUCAGGACGAAGUCAGGGGAAACCCUGAUGGAGGUCCGUAGCGAUUCUGACGUGCAAAUCGAUCGUCGGAACUGGGUAUAGGGGCGAAAGACUAAUCGAACCAUCUAGUAGCUGGUUCCCUCCGAAGUUUCCCUCAGGAUAGCUGGCGCUCAAUGUGCGAGUCUCAUCCGGUAAAGCGAAUGAUUAGAGGCAUUGGGGUCGAAACGGCCUCAACCUAUUCUCAAACUUUAAAUGGGUGAGAUCUCCGGCUUGCUUGAACGUGAAGCCGCGAGAUUUCGGAUCAGAG